UGGGGAAUAUUGCACAAUGGGCGCAAGCCUGAUGCAGCCAUGCCGCGUGUAUGAAGAAGGCCUUCGGGUUGUAAAGUACUUUCAGUCGGGAGGAAGGUGUCAAGGUUAAUAACCUUGGCAAUUGACGUUACCGACAGAAGAAGCACCGGCUAACUCCGUGCCAGCAGCCGCGGUAAUACGGAGGGUGCAAGCGUUAAUCGGAAUUACUGGGCGUAAAGCGCACGCAGGCGGUUGAUUGAGUCAGAUGUGAAAUCCCCGGGCUUAACCCGGGAACUGCAUCGGAUACUGGCAAGCUUGAGUCUCGUAGAGGGGGGUAGAAUUCCAGGUGUAGCGGUGAAAUGCGUAGAGAUCUGGAGGAAUACCGGUGGCGAAGGCGGCCCCCUGGACGAAGACUGACGCUCAGGUGCGAAAGCGGGGGGAGCAAACAGG
Molecule: ribosomal RNA, 429 nt
Filed under: Chloroflexota bacterium
Lineage: Bacteria; Bacillati; Chloroflexota
Description: Chloroflexi bacterium partial 16S ribosomal RNA
Rfam family: Bacterial small subunit ribosomal RNA
Source: RNAcentral